UACGAAGGUGGCUAGCGUUGUUCGGAUUUACUGGGCGUAAAGCGCGUGUAGGCGGGUGGUUAAGUUGGGGGUGAAAUCCCGGAGCUCAACCACGGAACUGCCUCCAAAACUGGCGACCUGGAGCAGAGGAGAGGCGAGUGGAAUUCCGAGUGUAGAGGUGAAAUUCGUAGAUAUUCGGAGGAACACCAGUGGCGAAGGCGACUCGCUGGACUCUUGCUGACGCUGAGACGCGAAAGCGUGGGGAGCAAACAGG
RNAcentral lists this ribosomal RNA (253 nucleotides) under uncultured bacterium. RNAcentral's name for it is "partial 16S ribosomal RNA". It matches the Rfam family "Bacterial small subunit ribosomal RNA", at positions 524 to 776 of the family's 1533-position model. The record is from RNAcentral.